CGGUGAAACUGCGAAAGGCUCAAUAGAUCAGUGAGAAUUGGAUUGAGGAUGGAAUGCUAGAUGGAUAACCGUGGUAAUUCUAGAGCUAAUACAUGGGGAAGGGGCGACUCGCUGGCAUUGCUUGCAGUGCGGGGGAAGCCCGGCAUUUAUUAGAUAACACCGGAGCAUGCGCGAGCGUGCGGGAGGAUUCAUGAUAAUUGGCGGAUCGUAUGGCGUGAGCUGACGACGGAUCAAACAAAUGACUGCCCUAUCAGCUGUGGAUGGUAGGAUAGAGGCCUACCAUGGCGAUGACGGGUAACGGAGAAUUGGGGUUCGAUUCCGGAGAGGGAGCCUGAGAAAUGGCUGCCACAUCCAAGGAAGGCAGCAGGCGCGCAAAUUACCCAAUCCCGAGUCGGGGAGGUAGUGACAGAAAAUAACAAUGCCGGGCCUUGUGGUUUGGCAAUUGGAAUGGACUGAGAGUAAAGAGCUCGGUGAGAAACGAUU
RNAcentral lists this ribosomal RNA (483 nucleotides) under uncultured eukaryote. RNAcentral's name for it is "bacterial SSU rRNA". It matches the Rfam family "Eukaryotic small subunit ribosomal RNA", at positions 79 to 549 of the family's 1831-position model. The record is from RNAcentral.